CCGGCUAANUACGUGCCAGCAGCCGCGGUAAUACGUAGGGUGCGAGCGUUGUCCGGAAUUACUGGGCGUAAAGAGNUCGUAGGUGGUUUGUUGCGUCGUCUGUGAAAUUCCGGGGCUUAACUUCGGGGUGGCAGGCGAUACGGGCAUAACUAGAGUGCUGUAGGGGAGACUGGAAUUCCUGGUGUAGCGGUGGAAUGCGCAGAUAUCAGGAGGAACACCGAUGGUGAAGGCAGGUCUCUGGGCAGUAACUGACGCUGAGGAGCGAAAGCAUGGGGAGCGAACAGGAUUAGAUACCCUGGUAGUCCAUGCUGUAAACGGUGGGCGUUAGGUGUGGGGACCGGUUUGGUUUCUGUGCCGUAGCUAACGCAUUAAGCGCCCCGCCUGGGGAGUACGGCCGCAAGGCUAAAACUCAAAGGAAUUGACGGGGGCCCGCACAAGCGGCGGAGCAUGUGGAUUAAUUCGAUGCAACGCGAAGAACCUUACCUGGGUUUGACAUGCACCAGACGGUUGUAGAGAUACGUACCUCCCUUUGUGGUUGGUGUGCAGGUGGUGCAUGGUUGUCGUCAGCUCGUGUCGUGAGAUGUUGGGUUAAGUCCCGCAACGAGCGCAACCCUUGUCUUAUGUUGCCAGCACGUUUAGGGUGGGGACUCAUGAGAGACUGCCGGGGUUAACUCGGAGGAAGGUGGGGAUGACGUCAAAUCAUCAUGCCCUUUAUGCCCAGGGCUUCACACAUGCUACAAUGGUUAGUACAACGCGCUGCGAACCUGUGAGGGUGAGCGAAUCGCUGAAAGCUAAUCUCAGUUCGGAUUGGGGUCUGCAACUCGACCCCAUGAAGUCGGAGUCGCUAGUAAUCGCAGAUCAGCAAUGCUGCGGUGAAUACGUUCCCGGGCCUUGUACACACCGCCCGUCACGUCAUGAAAGUUGGUAACACCCGAAGCCCAUGGCCUAACCACCAUUUUUUGGUG
This 965-nucleotide ribosomal RNA is filed under the name uncultured bacterium. RNAcentral's name for it is "bacterial SSU rRNA". It matches the Rfam family "Bacterial small subunit ribosomal RNA", at positions 493 to 1448 of the family's 1533-position model. The record is from RNAcentral.